Molecule: ribosomal RNA, 301 nt
Filed under: uncultured bacterium
Lineage: Bacteria
Description: partial 16S ribosomal RNA
Rfam family: Bacterial small subunit ribosomal RNA
Source: RNAcentral
CAGCCGCCGCGGUAAUACGUAGGUCCCGAGCGUUGUCCGGAUUUAUUGGGCGUAAAGCGAGCGCAGGCGGUUAGAUAAGUCUGAAGUUAAGGGCUGUGGCUUAACCAUAGUACGCUUUGGAAACUGUUUAACUUGAGUGCAAGAGGGGAGAGUGGAAUUCCAUGUGUAGCGGUGAAAUGCGUAGAUAUAUGGAGGAACACCGGUGGCGAAAGCGGCUCUCUGGCUUGUAACUGACGCUGAGGCUCGAAAGCGUGGGGAGCAAACAGGAUUAGAUACCCCGGUAGUCCCUGUCUCUUAUACA